Molecule: long non-coding RNA, 560 nt
Organism: Pectinophora gossypiella (pink bollworm)
Lineage: Eukaryota; Metazoa; Arthropoda; Insecta; Lepidoptera; Gelechiidae
Exons: 3
Source: RefSeq, a predicted model, not a curated record
UAUUGUGUAGUCUGUUUGUGUUAGUAUCUAUCGCGCGCGCAGCUCCUCGAGUCAGCUCGGCCGGCAAAGUACCUAGUCCAAUUUCUGCCAGUAUAAUACUUAUUGAUAAGAUAUUUUUCCCAUUCGACCGUCGCGCCUCCGAACAGACACGACGCAUUCCGAAGAAAAAGAAACGAAAUUAUAAUAAAUUGUAAUAAAAUUGCACAUUAAAUCAAAUAAUAGUGAAUAAUAGUAAAGCAAAAAUACAUAUUUAAAUAGGAGACAACAAAUUUCGUCAAAUGCUGAACAACAUCCAUAAACAUUUAUACAAAACAAAAAAGUGCAACGGGUAUAAGUAACGAGCCGUCAUCGCAUUCAAGGUUAAAUUGAAAACCCCGAUAAACCUUCCACGAGAUCACGCAAAUAUCACCCGACGGAAAGCAUAAUUAUUAUUAUGACAAUGGUUGCGGCGCCGCAUCCAGCCCGCUGGGAGGACUCCGCCGCGCUACCGUGUUGAAACCAAUGAGACUACGAAACGGCGGCGGCAAAUCGUUCCAGCACUUGGAUGCGGCGAAACUGAA